Molecule: long non-coding RNA, 4112 nt
Organism: Pezoporus occidentalis (night parrot)
Lineage: Eukaryota; Metazoa; Chordata; Aves; Psittaciformes; Psittacidae
Exons: 3
Source: RefSeq, a predicted model, not a curated record
GCACAGGCUGCCCAGAGAAGCUGUGGCUGCCCCAUCCUUGGCAGUGUUCAAGACCAGGUUGGAUGGGGCUUGGAGAAACCUGCUCUAGUGCAAGGUGUCCCUGCCCAUGGCAGGGGGUUGGAACUGGAUGAGCUUUAAGGUCCCUUCCAACCCAAGCCAUUCUAUGAGCUUUUAAGUCUCCCAAUGCAACUAUGAGACUAUUGAAUUGUAGCUCAGAUAUUUAUUUCUCCUUUGCUCUUUCAGUCCUUAGGUGUACAAUUUCUAAGGAUCAGUUCCUACGUUUAAAGAAUCAAAGGUAAUUUUUCUCCUUUUAGCAAAAAGAUUUCCAAAAUGUUGAUGCCUUCUGUGAGGUGUGGAAGAAUAACAGGAGGCUGGUGGUUCUGUUAUGUUGCCAUUAGCUUCGCUGCUCAGUAGCUGCACAUCAGCACAGUAAUCAUUUUCAGAUUUACAAGCAUUAAAUAUUUUAAUUUAAUGCCUUGGCUCUCUUGUAAUUCAUGCACUUAAUUAUAUGAUAAUUACUCAAAUGAAAGAGAUACAGCUGCUGUUGUAUCAAUUCUUCUAGGAAUCUGAGAUUUUGGAAUUGGCCUUUGAUUUCAGGGUGAGGGUUUUUCUGGCCCUUUCUAAAAGCUAGUGGGCACUUAAAGGUAAUUUUUUCAGUAUGUGGAACAGGUAAUGUUCAGGUAAUAAUUUCAGGUAAUGUUAACCUCCUAGCUUCUUUUCCUAGAGUGUAGCAUACACUUGGCAGCUGAGGGACUGGGCACCAUGCUGGCUGUUUUUACUGCUCCUUGUGGAUUACAGUCAUUAAAACAGAGGAGCUAAGUCAAACCUUCCACAUCAUAGGACCCUGCUCCAUUACAGAUGGCUGCAGAAGGAAGUAAAUGGCAGGAAAGAGGUGCAUGUUUGUGUACACAUGCACAUAACUGUAUAGAAUUCAAUACAUUCAUAAUGGGCCAGUUGGCCGGCCUGCAAGCACUGCACAAUGAAAUCACACAAUAAAUUAAAGUAUAAAGGUUCAACCAGGCCAAAUAGACCACCAACUGGAGCAAAAGGAUUUGGCAAAGGCAAACUCAAGUGACCUCAGCAGAGAAGAGUAAUUAACGCAUGGGGUGAGGAAGAAAAGAAGUUAGCAAAUACCGAAAAGGCAAAGUCAGCUCAAAGAAGGGGGCCCCUAGAAUCUGUGAAGGAUAAUGCUGCCAAAAUACAUGGAGGCCCCAUGAGGACCACGUAGCUGCCAGCCCAGGGCUGUGCAACCUUCUGUCUGGAAGGAGAGAUCCUUACUGGCAUCCUGCAGCAGGUGAUGCCUCAGAGUCCUGGUUUCUAUUUUCCAGCCUGCAGUAGCUUUGUGUAUUUAAAAUACACGGCAGUAGGCUUUUUCUUAGGAGAAGCAGUAAUUAGAAGAUGGUGGAAUAGGUCUUCUGAUUUUUACUGUUUUGGUUUUACUGUAUAUCUCCAGUGCUUGAAGGUAGAAAAUUAGCAUGGGAAUAUUCUUUGUUUAGGAGGUGUGCUUGUGAAAGUCUCCACAAAUUACUUAAGACCCUUGAAAACUGUUCCACAUGUUUGUGAAAGUCGCUCUGCAGGAGGGUUAGUACCACAUCCCUACAAGCCUCCGCUGGGCAGGGUCUGGCAAGAGGGCCACACUGAACAGCAGCCGUAUGAAAUUGCUUUUGCCCUGUAUGCACACUUGAACCCUUGUACGCUGAGCUCCUUACAGUGGAUCAGAAAAGGAGGAGCAUUUUCAGGCCUUGCAUAUGCAAAGGAAAUGUGCUUGUGGGAAGGUGGGAAGAGGCUGUUUCCCCAGGUGGGGCUGAUGGAGCACUCUCGGAUGGCUUUCUGCAGAGCUCCACAUCACACAUUUCAAUUUCUGGUUGUUUGCUGGUGUCCCAUCUUCUGGACCCAAGUUGAUUAAAAUGUUAACUGGGCCCUUGGUGCUUAUCCAUGGGGCCUGCCCCACUCAGAGUGCAGGGGAUCAUGGCAGCAGAGGGGCUAUUGCCAAGCCCCAGGUUCUGGGCAGCCAUGGAGGAACAUGCCUCAGUGACUUGCAGCCAGCACUGGCAGGUCAUAGCAGUGCCAUACUUCUCGAGGAGAGGAGGUGGUUCUUUGGUGCCUCUACUGAAAAACAGAAAAAGCAAGGGAAGUUUUAACAGUGACCACAGUGAAGUUUUUUAAAACAUGUUGCAGCCAUAUUUAAAGUUUUUGUUGGUGGUUGUUGACAUGUGAGAUUAUGCUUAAUCCCUCAGGGACUCAGGAUAUUUUGUAAGAAUUGGAAGUGUAAAUAUUUGGCAAUAGUUUCAUAUCCGUCCUCUCUGAGUCCCACUGGAAUAGAUGACGCCGUGUUACUGUACUGUGUGUAGUUUCUGUUGAUGGCAGUAGCAGAUUUAACACUUCUACACAGUUUCAUUUUACUUUAUGAGUACUUGAAGUUUGUCUUGUGUAUGUGAAGUAAUUGCUUUGCAGCAUGCUUUCUGGGAAGAGGUUGUAAUGUUUGUUCACUUUCGUAAAAGUUGUAAAUGAGAGACAGAGCAAACUUCAGGCCAAUCGCUCUUAAAAAUACACAGAGAUGUUUUUAAUUGCUAAAGGCAUCUAGCAUAAGGCAAAAAUAUUUAUUUGCCUGGCUUGCAGUCUGAUUGUCAGGCUUACAACAAGGCUAAGUCCAUUCAAACAGUUACUGGAAAUUGGUAUUUGAACUUGUGAACUCAGGAAAACUCCUAAUCUGCUCAGAGGUCUCUGACGUGCCCUCCAAGCCCCGCAGACUGUUUGUCUCGAGCUUUCCUUUAACUCUCCAGAGACCUUGGUGGCUGCUUUUCUGAGUUCCUUUCUAAAUGCAAGUUGCACCAAAAGGGUUACAAAAUUUUAAACCCUGUGUAUGCAGACAAUUUUCAGCUAGCUUACAGCAGCUGCGGAGUCGUGCUGGUAGAUUAAAAGCAGCUCCCAGCCCCAGAAUGAAGUAUAUUAGAGCUCCUGCUGAGCCAAGCUGGGGUGAGGCCUACACAGCUGUCAUUUAGGCCAAGUUUCCAACUGAAAACUGAAGAAAAGGAUGUAACUUAAAGAAAAGUUAUAUUUUAAAAUAAGGCAUCUGGUUAUUAAUUAAAUACAGGCAGGAGUUCAGUUGUGCAGUUCGUUUCAGCCUCAACAGCCUGAUACUUGGAAAAGUAGGGAGGUAAUUUUCAAGGAUCAAGAUGGGGCAUGUCCAGCCAAAGGAUGCUACUUGGUAGCACUGUAAAAAUAAUCCUUUCCUUCUGUACUUGUCUCUCUUCAUGAAAAAUGAACAGAAUGUGAGGAUUCUUGAACUGUUGCACAUCUGAGAGAGAGGCUGAUCAACUGCAGCAAUUGCUCUUUGCUGAUAUUGACCUUAAAGCAUAGCCAAUUCCCUGGGGAGUGUGCUUGUAUAAAUCUGCCGUUAGCAGAGAGUGUAUAAUGAAUGUCCAACUUGGCAGAAAGGAAAGGAUCAGAGUGGGAAGCAGUGUAUACCAUGAGGAUUUAUCAUGAUACCAUUGAAAACAAUAUGACAACUCUUGGGCACAUAUGUGCAUUUAGCCUCCAGUAGAGUCAAAUAAGUCACCUUGAAAUAACUACUGGACUAGUAAGACUUCCUGCUGUUUGAAGAACAACAUUAGUAAGUUAGUCCAGUGUUGGCAUAGAUUGUAUGAAGCACUUGUAAAGAGCUAAAUAUCUAAAUUCGUUAAAGUGGUAAAUAUUGAGCAUAAUUUUCUACUUGUGAUUUUGAAACCAGAGUGAUAAAUUUUCUUAGUACACGUAGUUGUAACAGAUGCAAAUUUUCUUGGUAGAAAAAUUAAAUUAUAUAUAGUGCAAUUAAAAUGCAUUAUAGGCCUGAACCACAGAAUAUAUCACAAUUAGUGGAAAUGAAGCUUGCUAGCAUUCUGUUGCUCUUCUAGAAAGGAGCAUUGUACUAUAUUAUCAGCAAUAAUAACAACAACAAAGCAGCCUAACAAAAGAAUUCAUUUUUAGCAGCUGUUACACGAAGUAACAGCUUGAAUUCUUACAGAUCUUUCUUUCACUCAGUUUAGCAAUGAUAUACUGUAAUAUGCAUCACUGUGAGAUUUUAUAUUGCUGUUAACUUGUUCCUGCCAUUAAACAAUUCCUAACAUAGGCAG